GCAUAUCAAUAAGCGGAGGAAAAGAAACCAACAGGGAUUGCCUCAGUUAACGGCGAAGUGAAGCGGCAACAGCUCAAAUUUGAAAUCUGGCCGCAAGGUCCGAGUUGUAAUUUGUAGAGGAUGCUUUUGGCGAGGUGCCUUCCGAGUUCCCUGGAACGGGACGCCAUAGAGGGUGAGAGCCCCGUACGGUAGGACCACCAAGCCUCUGUAAAGCUCCUUCGACGAGUCGAGUAGUUUGGGAAUGCUGCUCUAAAUGGGAGGUGUACGUCUUCUAAAGCUAAAUACCGGCCAGAGACCGAUAGCGCACAAGUAGAGUGAUCGAAAGAUGAAAAGCACUUUGAAAAGAGGGUUAAAAAGUACGUGAAAUUGUUGAAAGGGAAGCAUUCAUGACCAGACUUGGGCUUGGUUGAACAUCCGGCGUUCUCGCCGGUGCACUCUGCCAGUCCAGGCCAGCAUCAGUUUGCCCCGGGGGAUAAAGGCGGCGGGAAUGUGGCUCCCUUCGGGGAGUGUUAUAGCCCGUCGUGUAAUGCCCUGGGGCGGACUGAGGAACGCGCUUCGGCACGGAUGCUGGCGUAAUGGUCAUCAAUGACCCGUCUUGAAACACGGACCAAGGAGUCGUCUUCGUAUGCGAGUGUUCGGGUGUCAAACCCCUACGCGUAAUGAAAGUGAACGUAGGUGAGAGCUUCGGCGCAUCACCGACCGAUCCUGAUGUUCUCGGAUGGAUUUGAGUAAGAGCAUACGGGGCCGGACCCGAAAGAAGGUGAACUAUGCCUGUAUAGGGUGAAGCCAGAGGAAACUCUGGUGGAGGCUCGCAGCGGUUCUGACGUGCAAAUCGAUCGUCAAAUAUGGGCAUGGGGGGCGAAAGACUAAUCGAACCUUCUAGUAGCUGGUUUCCGCGA
This 899-nucleotide ribosomal RNA is filed under the name Sarocladium kiliense. RNAcentral's name for it is "LSU rRNA". It matches the Rfam family "Eukaryotic large subunit ribosomal RNA", at positions 38 to 963 of the family's 3401-position model. The record is from RNAcentral. Lineage: Eukaryota; Fungi; Ascomycota; Sordariomycetes; Hypocreales; Sarocladiaceae.